Molecule: long non-coding RNA, 5804 nt
Filed under: Solanum pimpinellifolium
Lineage: Eukaryota; Viridiplantae; Streptophyta; Magnoliopsida; Solanales; Solanaceae
Description: long non-coding RNA (SPIM_LNC000024)
Source: RNAcentral
UAUCUUCCACCAGGUUAUGAUCCUUCAAGAGAUGGACCCCUUCCAUGCCUUGUAUGGUCAUACCCUGGAGAAUUUAAGAGUAAAGAGGCAGCUAGUCAAGUUCGAGGUUCCCCUAAUGAGUUUGCUGGAAUUGGGCCAACAUCCCCCCUCUUAUGGUUAGCAAGGAGGUCUGUCUCUGUUCUCUUUAUUAUCCAUAAAAUUUUGUUCGUUAUAUCUGUUAUUUUGUUAGUGUGGUCAUAUUAAUCUUUUUCAGGGUUCUGCUUGAUUUGGAACCAUAAAUUUCAGGUUUGCCAUCUUGUCAGGGCCCACAAUUCCAAUCAUUGGAGAGGGUGAUGAAGAGGCCAAUGACAGGUAAUCUUGUGCACUAAUAAUUUAAGGAUGUGACUAAAUCUGUUUAAUAAUCUACUUGUGGGAAAGCUAUGUUGUCUUCUUUUUUUGAAUAAAGAAAAUUAUGUUGUCUUCUUGCUACAAAUACAACAAAUAAGACCAAUCUCAAGCUAGUUGAGGCUAGCUGCAUGAAUCCUCUUUGUAAGUUUUGCUUUGACUGUCUCAUUUCAUUACUUGAAUAUUCAAUAAUUUAGGUUCUCUAACCUUAGAAGUCUUUUAUGCUUUUAUCGACAUAUCAACCCUCCAGACCAAGGGAAAAAAAAAAGAAAAGAAAAAGAAGUCCAACAGACUCUUGUCAUUGAUGAAGCAUACCCACAAAGCUAAGCUUUAAGAGCGGAAGUGUAGCAAAGGUGAAGGAAAGGGUUUUAAUCCAAUUUAUUUUGAGGACUUAAUGAAUGCGUACAGCGCAUUUGUGAUAAGUGUGCUUCACAGUCAAGUAGAAGCAAGCUUAGAUCACAUCUAAAGAAAAACGUGACAUAUUCUUUUUGGUACGCGAAAUAUGUUAUUUCUGUUUGAAUGAAACUCAAAAAAAUAUUGUAAAUGACAACAAGGAAGCACAUAAGCAAUAUUUGCGAGGGACAAUGCCUACACAUCUUUUUUUUUAAUUUUAGAUAUGGCAAAGUUUGGGUCAGCCUCGACCAAUCCACUGGAUAGCCUGCUAAGAGUCUACAAGCAUAUGUGUCGAGCAUGCUGAACAAGGACGGAGAAGUUAGUUUCACAAUAACUGCUGUAGCAGUGUUUGAGCUUGGGAUCGCCUGAUUGUUACUAUGUGCCUCAACAGCAACUAACUGUGCACUUCUGAUUGUUAUUCCUAUGCAUUAACUACUUACCUAUAUGCCUAUGGGGACUUUAUUUUGGGAUUUUUUGUUGUGGUUUAAGUGAAGUAGAUGAGAAAAUGAGAUGAACAUGGCACGGUUAUUCCCUCAAUCUAUUAGGAUUUAAAUAGUUGGGUUUACAUGUCCUAGAAAGUAAAGGACAACUCAAUACUUAAUUACAAUAGGAGUAAAUUAAGCUACUUACUCAAUUUACAUAUAUUCUAGGAUAUUCACAAGGACUCUAACACUCCUCCUCAAGCUAGUGCGUACAGAUUGUAUCAACCAUGCUUGCUACAUGUAUAACUUGUUCCGGGGUAGGCUAGGGACUUGGUGAAUAUGUUUGCUUGUUGAUCAUUUGAAAACACAAACCUUGUGACGAUGUUUUUAACAAUGCCUUCUCUCUGACCAAUGACAAUCAAUCUCAAUGUGUUUGGUUCUAACACCAGAUUCGACACAAUAUGAAGUGCAACUUCAUUAUCAUACACAAGUUCCAUUUCUUUAAUCUCUCCAAAUUUCAACUCCUUCAUUUGUUGCUUGAUCUAUAUGAAUUUGCAUGUUGCCACUUUCAUAGUUCGAUAUUUUGCUUCUAUACUAAAUCAAACAACCACCUUUUGUUCCUUUCUUUUCUACCACACCAAGUUUCACCCAACUAGAACACAAUAUGCAAAAGUACAUCGUUUGUCAAAUGUUGACCCUACCUAGUUUGCUUCUAAAUAUCCAAACAAUUUUCCUAUGUCCUCGGUCUUUGUGAAGUCGUCCUUUCCUUGGAACAAAAACUGACUUGCAACACUAUUGAGAAGUCAAUGACAGGUUGAGUCACAACAAGAUAAUUCAACUUCCCUACCUGCCUUUUAUAUCUUCCAGGAUCACUAAGAGGUAGCCCCUGACUUGGUAGGAGCUUAAGAUUUGGAUCCGUUGGAGAAUCAAUAGACCUGCAAUCUGUCAUUCAUAUCUCAAGAAUAUCAAGUGCAGACUUUCUUUGUGAAAUGGCAAUCCCCAAUUUGGAUUGAGCAACUUCAAUGCCCAAGAAUUACCUCAAUCGACCAAGACUCUUAGUCUGAAUGUACUGAAAGGCUGAUGUCUCAAUUUGGUAAUUUAGAUUCCUGUUAGCCAUCGAUCGACUUCCUCGAAAUCCUGCGCGAAAUAAAAGUCCUAUACCACAUCUGAGGACAGAAGUGCUUUCCUAGGUUCUUCUCAUCUUCAUUACCUUUAAUGACUAUGCCAUCAACGUAAACCACUAAGUAUAUAUACAAACUUGGAGCAGAGUAACGAUUUAGAUACUGACUGAUCAACUUCAUUUCGUACCAUGCCAAACUCUUGAAUAACCAUGCUAAACUUCCCGAACCAUGCUCGAUGAGACUGCUUUAGUCCAUAAAGUGCUUGUCGUAAUUUGCAUACCAUGUUACUAGACUCCCCCUGAGUAACAAAAUCAGGUUGUUGCUCCAGAUAUACCUCAUCUUCGAGAUCCCAAUGAAGAAAGUCAUUUUUAAUAUCCAACUAGCAGAGCGGCCAGUGCCGUCCAAUGGCCAUAGAAAAAAAAUAGAUGGACUGAAGCAAUCUUAGUCAUAGAAGAGAAGGCAUCGUAAUAGUCAAGACCAAAUAAUUUGUGUAUAACCCUUGACGACUAGUCGAGCCUUUAGGCAAUCAAUCUGUCCAUCGAGGUCACCAUACUACCAAAUUCUAGAGUUACCUAGAGGUAGUGGAACAAGCUCUUUAAGUACCACUGGAGUGUAAUACAGACAUCACCCACUCAUAGCUUGUUGUCAACCUGGAUGAGAAAGAGUGUAAUACAGUCUAUCGUUAGGAAUAGAUGCAGAUGAUAGUGGUGAUACAAAGACAAAAUGGGUUGGUGACAAACGAUGAUAGCUUAAACAAGUAGAUAAGAAAAGGGUUAUGGGUAGAGCCAAUACCUUUUUGAGUGGCAAUGAAAGAACUUUGUUUAGACAAGUUUGCAGCAGGUACGGACUUUGGUGGAGGGCAUGAUUGUCUAGGUUGCACGAGGAGCGUGAAUAACGAUGAUAAGCGGUGGAGGUGUAACCGAGGAAGAUGGAGCUGAGAAGUUUCGAUAUCCCUUCUGAGAAAAUACUUAAAACCCCAUGAGGAACUAACUCUAUUAGGACCCAAAUAUCAAAAUGAACUAAAUGAAAAAGAAGACUCGACAUGAUUAUUAAGAUUUAAGACAACGUGGAGAAGUAGUUCAAAUGUGCUUCCAUACAACUCACACUGACAAUUUUGACAAGCUAGGUGUCAUCGUUUGAAGUUUGUAUAAACUAGGAUGUCUCAAGUGUUUGUGGAUUAAAUUUGGAGCAUAGGAGACCUAGCAGCAGUAGUGGAGCUGGGUGAAUAGAGAUAAUAAAGUCCAUCUGGCUUACACCCUUUGCUAAUCAUCCUUCUCGUACUGAGUUCCUGUAUAACAAUGAAGUCACUAAGGACUGAGAUACAACAAUUGACAGCCUUAGCCAAACAACUGAUUGACAGAAGGCUAAUGGGACAACCAAUGGCCAAAAAAACAUUAUUCAGAAUCAAAUAAGGUAAAGGAUUGACUUAGCUAGAUCCAGUUGCCAUGAUAUGAGAAUCAUUAACUAACGUAGAAUAAAUAAAAUCAAGAAAUAAAGAUUUUUACUGGAAAUAUCGUCAGAUGCGUGUGAGUUCAUGAACUUAAGGCAAAAUGUGGUGGACUGGGAGAUACAAGCAAAAAGAUUACCCGUGUGAGCUGCAGAAGCUAUCGAUGGAAAUGUCUGCUUAUUCGCCUGAUAUGGAAGAAUGUCAUUGAUUCUAUCUCAGAUAAAGAGAUCAACUAAUUGGCUGGAUUACUAGUGGAUUCAGUCUUGAGUAAAAUGAGCAUUCUUUUGUUUAUCGUGGUCGUGGAAAGAUGAAUUGUCUUGCCGGGGAGUGUUCGGGAUCUGGUGGAAUCUGGAUGGUCUCGAACAAGGAGGCGAGUCGAUCUGGAAAAGAGAACUCGCCAAAAAGUGAUCAGAACAGUGUUCACGCGUAGGUGUGUGAGCAGAUCUCAUGGGUAAGUGCACUGGUCUGAUUGACGCAUGGGAGGUUAGAUGACGGUGGAGAUGAUUAGGGUUUGCUUCGAAAACUUACAGCAGCUUGCCAAACAAAGGCUAAGGCGGUGGAGAUGAUUAGGGUUUGCUCGUGCUGGUUUACCACUUCUUGUAGUAAUGUUGGUUUGAUUGCAGCAUCUAGGGAAACAAAAAAAUCUCAUCAGACAGCCAAGUAAGAUCUUCUGAAGCUUUUCCAGAGUUUGGAAUUUUCUUUUCCGAUGUCGUUGGCGUUAACCAGACUCUGCUACCAUGUGAAGCGGAAGAGAAAUGAAAGGAACUCGGUUUGAUUAUUCCCUCAAACUAUUGGGGUUUAAUACCUAUGUUUGUGUCCUAUAAAGGAAAGAAAAUCAAUACCUAAGUACGAUAGGAGUAAAUUAAGUCGCCUACUAUAUUUUAGAUAUAUUCACAAGGAUUCUAAUAGUUCAUCUGGUAAAACUUACAGUACAAUGAGCAUCCAUAAGUGAAAUCCUGCUCUCGUAGGUUCUUCCACUCUUUUUAAUUGCUCUACUGGAAAAUGAUGUGACUAGUUACUGUGUUUCAUUUUAGAUUUCCUUUCUUUUGCAUUUUUUUCUCGUUUCAUCUUGAUCAGUUAAUCCUGCAUUCUGAGCCAGUUGGUGCUCUACUCUUUUUUAUGAAAUGAACGGCAUAGCGCAUGCUGAAAGUUUGAUCUUUAUGUUGUUCUUAAGAAUCAGAGCCUGUGCUUUGUUUCUAGAUGUUAAGCCGAUGCUAAGCUGAUUUACUAAAAUUGGUCCCUCUAGAAGUUGUUUGUUGGAGCACAUAUUGGACUAUUCCAUCAAAACCACGAAUUCAAUUUUUUUAAAGCACUUCACUUUGUAAUACUAUAGUGCUAGCGACUGAUACUGUUGGUGUAUUUGUAUUUUGUAGAGUUAAUGAUUGUGGGAGUUGUUUGAAUGUAGAAACCUUCCUCAAUAAUAUGCUGAAUACCAUGCCGCAUGUACCUAUUCUACUGAAGUUCUCCUCCAUAAAAUUUUGCCUGUGUGAUUACUGACUAGGGAUGAAGCAUGAUUACACCCUUUUUUCUCUCUUUCUUGCUUUUCUUCGUGGUGGGGAAGGGAGGGUGCCACGGGAUGUUCAGUGGACUUGCUUCCCCACAUGAGCUGUAGGCUAUUGAUGUUUUGGAACUAAUUUAAGGAUAAAUCAUGUCUGUGUCUUGUGCUGAGGUGUAUUCUUUUACUUUUUCGUAUGCAACUUGGAGAUUUGGGCGUUUAUUGAAUAAAUGCUGGCUUAAUUAGGUACAUAGAACAACUUGUUGCAAGCGCUGAGGCUGCAGUGGAAGAAGUUAUACGCCGUGGAGUAAGUUUUUUUUUCUUCUUGCUAAACAUAUGUUGCAUGAAACUUAGAAAUUACGGCCGAGUUUUCUGGUGCUUUGUUUUUUAGGUGGCCGAUCCAAACAAAAUUGCUGUUGGUGGUCAUUCCUAUGGGGCAUUCAUGACAGCAAACCUCCUUGCACAUGCACCUCAUCUUUUCUGUUGUGGAAUUGCUCGUUCUGGUGCUUAUAACAGAACACUAACACCUUUUGGCUUCCAGG